CCUACGGGAGGCAGCAGUGAGGAAUAUUGGUCAAUGGGCGAGAGCCUGAACCAGCCAAGUCGCGUGAGGGAGUACUGCCCUAUGGGUUGUAAACCUCUUUUGUCGGGGAGCAAAAGCCGGACGUGUCCGGCUGUGAGAGUACCCGAAGAAAAAGCAUCGGCUAACUCCGUGCCAGCAGCCGCGGUAAUACGGGGGAUGCGAGCGUUAUCCGGAUUUAUUGGGUUUAAAGGGUGCGCAGGCGGAUUUUUAAGUCAGCGGUAAAAUCGUGGGGCUCAACCCCAUCCAGCCGUUGAAACUGGGGAUCUAGAGUGUGCGAGAGGUAUGCGGAAUGCGUGGUGUAGCGGUGAAAUGCAUAGAUAUCACGCAGAACCCCGAUUGCGAAGGCAGCAUACCGGUGCACAACUGACGCUCAGGCACGAAAGCGUGGGUAUCGAACAGGAUUAGAUACCCGAGUAGUC
This 458-nucleotide ribosomal RNA is filed under the name uncultured bacterium. Its description in RNAcentral is "partial 16S ribosomal RNA". It matches the Rfam family "Bacterial small subunit ribosomal RNA", at positions 338 to 795 of the family's 1533-position model. The record is from RNAcentral.